Molecule: ribosomal RNA, 181 nt
Filed under: Salmonella enterica
Lineage: Bacteria; Pseudomonadati; Pseudomonadota; Gammaproteobacteria; Enterobacterales; Enterobacteriaceae
Also listed under: 2 other names
Description: partial 23S ribosomal RNA
Rfam family: Bacterial large subunit ribosomal RNA
Source: RNAcentral
GGUUAAGCGACUAAGCGUACACGGUGGAUGCCCUGGCAGUCAGAGGCGAUGAAGGGCGUGCUAAUCUGCGAUAAGCGCCGGUAAGGUGAUAUGAACCGUUAUAACCGGCGAUACCCGAAUGGGGAAACCCAGUGUGACUCGUCACACUAUCAUUAACUGAAUCCAUAGGUUAAUGAGGCGA